Molecule: long non-coding RNA, 1230 nt
Organism: Amphiprion ocellaris (clown anemonefish)
Lineage: Eukaryota; Metazoa; Chordata; Actinopteri; Pomacentridae
Source: Ensembl
UUUUUUUUAAAAACUCUGAGGUGUUCACUCUAAAGCAUAGUAUACACUACUGUUCAAAAGUUUGGGGUCACCCGGGCAAUUUCAUGUUUUCUAUGAAAAUGCAUACUUUUAUUCAUAUGCUAACAUAAUUACACAUGUGUUUUCUGAUCAUCAGUUAGCCUUUCAGCACAAUUAGCUAACACAAUGUACCAUAAAACACUUUCUAGGACAUUUCUAAGUGACCCCAAACUUUUGAACGGUAGUGUAAAUCAAAUGUCUGUUAAGAUACAUGCAACAUAAUCAUAAUUAGCUUAAAUCAGCCCUUAAAUUCUGCAGUCCAAGUUCAGCUGUAGACUUCAGCUGUAGACUGCAUGAAGUAACACUGCCUUAUAAUACUGCUUGUUUGUUAAUUUUGAAUCAAGGAGUUUGUCAAGUCCUCCACCUCAGCCGCAAGUUAGGGGCAGAUUCUCCUUCCCUUCCCCCAUCUCUCCCUCUCCUAAGUGGCCUGUGGCAUGCGGAGAGGUGCUGCCAAUCACAAUCAGUUGAAUUGGUGGGCGACCAGGUGGGAGUGAUCAUCACGUAUCAUCCUUCUUCCCAUAAAAGCCAGACGCUGCCACGACUCCUCGCCGGAUUGUGAACUACCCCAUUUGGAUUCCUGCCUGCUCGUGCUUCCUGCUUGGAUCUCCCCAGAAUCACCGCGGAUCUCCGUCACCGCCACGGCCCUAGCGAAGACACCGACCGCUGCAGCACCUGUCCGAACCCGGAUCACCACCAGCCACCUGCUACCUCACCUGCUCUGUCCUCCCAUCGCCUGUUCUCUACCUCGGACAGUUAAAUUCCCUGCCCGCUCUCUGAGCCAGUUCAAUUUUGUGUAUUUCCAGUUCAUCGUAGUUAGUUUCCGUGUUCCCAGCAUCCUAGCAGUUUUGCCCUGCACCAAACUUUUUGGCAGACAUGUUACUUUGUACCCGUUCUUUGAUUUACUGUCCUGCUUUGGUAGUACCAAGUUGCAGUUCAUUUCUGCUAAACCUGUUGUUCUUGUGUAUAGAGUUUGCAUUACCCUCCGCUCCUUUAGUGGGUGCUGUUUAGCUCUAGCGCUAAGCUUUCCACCAUCCUGCUUUGGUGACCUCUCGUAUAUCACAUCCUGGUGAAAUUUUGUGUACUUCAUAAUAAAUAGGAACUCCAAUUCGCCAGUCUGUCAUAUCUCUGUUGUUGUGGCAUUUUAAGAUUGAAUAAAUGAUAAAACUAGACAAA